Molecule: long non-coding RNA, 509 nt
Filed under: Ananas comosus (pineapple)
Lineage: Eukaryota; Viridiplantae; Streptophyta; Magnoliopsida; Poales; Bromeliaceae
Description: long non-coding RNA (ACOM_LNC003363)
Source: RNAcentral
UUUGGUGUCUUUUGUGUGAAGCAGGACAUGCCACCAAACUCUUUUAGAAACUUAAAAUAAUUAGUGUUAAGUUUGAUUAAGAAAUUUUCGAAACAUAAUUAACUAUAACCUAUAUGAGUAGAUAAUGCUCUUUUGGAGUUGAAAUGACAUAUUUAUCAGAAUUAACAAGAAUUUAGUUAGUUGAGAUCAAACUAAAUUGGCCAAUUUGCAUAAAAAAAUCACAAGUUUUGAGCUUUUGUAAAACUAGACCACCUUUUUCAAUUUUACAGAUUCGGGCCAAAUUUUUCGCCAUCGGACGAAAAUACCUUAUUCCUUUUCUUUCUCUCUCUCUCUUUUUUUUUUUCCUUAUUUUUUUUCUUCCGCCACCUCCUCCUCCGUAGCGCCCUCCCUAUCACCGCCUCCUCCUCCGGCGAACUCACCUCCUCCUUUCGCCGCCUCUCCCUCUCCCACGGCGAUGCCCCUACUUCCUCCCCAAUAUCCGACCCCCAACCCUACAGCGCCAAUCUCGA